RNAcentral lists this long non-coding RNA (7968 nucleotides) under Ananas comosus (pineapple). RNAcentral's name for it is "long non-coding RNA (ACOM_LNC044453)". The record is from RNAcentral. Lineage: Eukaryota; Viridiplantae; Streptophyta; Magnoliopsida; Poales; Bromeliaceae.
CUCGGGGCAUGCCCUUCAAUUCCGAGCAAUUGUUGUUUAACAAGACUCUAAGUUUGGUCAGCUUUUGGAUCAUUUUAGGCAGCUCACAUAAUUUUCGACAACCACUGAUGUCGAGUUUCUCUAAAUGCUGAAGAUCACUUGACGAUGAGGGUAAUGAUUGUAGAGAACAGCAUUUAGAAACGUUCAGAAUAUGCAAGUUUUGAAGGCUCCCAAUGGAUUCAGGUAAUGUCACAAAAGAAUUUAGAAGUGACAGGUUUAAGUUAUAUAGGUUUUUGAGAUCACAUAACGAUGAGGGUAAUGAUAGUAGAGAACUGCAGCGAGAAAGGUUUAGAGUACGCAAGUUUUGAAGGCUCCCAAUGGAUUCGGGUAACGUCACCAAAGAUUUUAGACAUGAUAGGUUUAAGUCAUGCAGGUUUUUGAGGUGACAUAUAGGUUCAAGUGAUCUCACUUUUUCGCACGAACUCAAAUUUAGUGAGUACAAAUUCUGAAGGUUGCUAACUGAGUCAAGUAUUGUCAGAGAACUGCACCUUGAAAGAUUCAAUUUUUGCAAGUUGCAUAGGCUGGUAAUUGAUUCAGGCAAUUCUUGUAUUCUGGUCUCCGAAUGGUCAAGGUAUCUUAAGAGCUUCGGUGAGCUCUCCUCCUUUGACGAGCUACUCGCUAGUUCCUCAUAUGGGUACGGCCUGCACCACAACAACAACGCAAAAUAGUAAAUUUUUUAUCUGAUGCUCGUGUAGCACGUGCUGUAUAUUGCUUACACUUUCUAAUACUGCAUGAUAUAUAAGAUACCUUAUUUCAAUUUGCAAAGAAAAAUAUCCCAGGACUCAAAUAGUGUAUCAGCAAUAUGACUGAAAAUGAUUACUCGGUAAUUAAAUACUAUAUAGCUUUCAAGUAGAAAUUUUUCGGCAUCUCAAAUCGCUACAAAUUAAGAAAAGGUUAAAAUUUCAUUAAUUAAUUAGCCUAUAUACAUGCAAGAGACCGCUUGCAAAUUUUUUUCAGGCAACAAACCAUGUUUUAGAAUAUCUUAGCUGCACUUUCACGUAGUUGAUAUUGAAAUGUGGUUUUUAAACUGUGCAACAGCAAGCUGCUAUUGUUUCAAUUGUACAAAUUAGUAAAGUUGCAAUUGCUGCAAAAUUUAUGGAAAGAUAAUUCCCUCGUGUAAUCUAUGAACCACUUGUACAAGUAAAAUAUUUUGUUGAAUAGCAAUUUAGCAUAUCUAAAUAGGAAGGAAUAAGAACAGGGUAAAACUAAACUUAAAAAUUAGAAUCAUUCGGAAAAUAAAUUAAACAAAAUCUCACAAAUACAUAAAUGGAGGGUAGAAAUCAAAAUUAAUUCCUCCAGAAGAUGAGGAUUGGAGAUUGUGACUAGUAAAUGGUUUGUACCUUAUGCUGCAGUAAGUAUGUAUUUCUAUAGAUAUGCUACCGGAGAUUUAUCUAGAGAAGAAAAUUUUCAAUUUGGUCUCUCUGUGGUUUAAUACGGUGUCACUUUACCUCCCAAUAUUUUAAAUACUUUUACUUGAAAAUUCUGUAGGGUUUUUUUUUUUCCUGUAUCAUCAUAAGAACUUGCCGUCAAGUGAAAACUAAAGUGCUGAAAUAUAUAAACUAUGGGAUAGUAAAGUGAUAUAUUUUAUAAAAUAAAAGGUGACCACCUAUAUCUAAAUAUAUUUUUUCAAAUAGCACUAUUAUGGUUUAUAAAAUAUAUUACUUUACUACCUUAUAAUUCAUAAAUUUUAGUACUUUAAUAUUUUCUGAUAGUAAGUCCUUGCGGUGAAAUAAAGACACAACAAUAAAAUAGCAAAGUGAAAUAUUUUAUAGCAAAUGAAACUGCACUGAGCCACGUCGGGGUGGGCCUAACCAAAGUUUUUCCAUAUGGAUUUAAAAAAAAAUAAUAAUAAAGAAAGAGGUUUAUAUGCUAGCUACAAUAGAAUAUUAAGGUGCUAUCCAGCUAAUUAAUUAAAGAGUAAUCAAGAGUUCCAAAUUAAUUACCUUCCAUCAACUUUGACUUCUUCGAUGUGAUCGACGCUGGUGUCGACAAAGUGUUUAUCUGCAUCGAACAACAGCGGGGAACCUUUAAUGUGUAACUUCUUAAGUGUGGUCAUCUUGUGGGCAGGCAAGUAACGGAGACUGCUGCACCCCGAGAUCUCCAAGGACUGCAGCUCGGUGAGCUCCCCGAGCCAAUCUUCAAUUCUCUCAAGAUCUUUGCAAUCCCAUAUUGUCAGCCACUGGAGGGACGUGAGACCCCGCAAGCUCUCGGGCAAACAAGUUAGCUGCCGACAUUUUUGUAUUAUUAGCUCGCGCAGCCCCGUAUCUGGUGGCGGUUGAAGUGAAACGGCGGCAUCACCACCACCAAGUGGCAUCGCGCAUUCGAGAAUUAACGAUAGAUUCUCCUUGCUUGCUUGAGAAAUGAGCAGAUACUCAACCGAUGGCGGGAGGCAAGGCUCCGGCCUCAAUUGAGGACAUUCUUUAAGCAACAAUCCACCGAGACACGGAAAAAUGGGAACUCGCUCUCGCCUGCCUUCUUCGUCAUCCACCGUCAACACAGUCACCCAUUCUCGCAGCAACGGCAUGGAGGACAACUUAAGUAUCAUCAGCACAGGGAACUUAUCUACGCCCAAAUUUGUUAUUGCGGGCAUAUCGCCUAUUUGUAGUUUUGUAAGAAAAGGAAGUUGCCCCAGCGGCGGGAGUGAGCUGCAUACGGGAAUAUUAUCAAGUCUCAUUUCAUCGAGAUUUGGGAGGCACAAACCAAUCCCAUUCAUCAUCCAGCUAGGAAACUUCCUGCCUCCAUAGCCUCGUAUAUGCAAUUCCACUAGCUUUUGAUGUGGUUGAAGAUUUUCUAGCACGGUUUCAAUCUCUUCCGCCGGUAGUACAGUACUAUCCAUGCAUUCUUCCGCGCUUAAAAUGUUCCAUUCCAACUUCAAAGACCGCAGGUUCUUCUCUAUCAAAUUUGCAGCCUUGGCAUCAACCGGACUCGUUACAUUUUCAAGACCCUUGAUCCGGAGCUCACCGACAAGCCUCAAGUGCUCUAGCUCAGAAAUGCUAGCACAAUGUUCGACGCGGUCUUGCUUGCCGAUGACAAAAACGGACAAUUCCUGCAAGCUAACUAACUUGCCGAUCCCUUGGGGCAUGCCCUUCAAUUCCGAGCAAUUGUUGUUUAGCAAGACUCUAAGUUUGGUCAGCUUUUGGAUCAUUUUAGGCAGCUCACAUAAUUUUCCACAACCACUGAUGUCGAGUUUCUCUAAAUGCUGAAGAUCACUUGACGAUGAGGGUAAUGAUUGUAGAGAACAACAUUCAGAAACGUUCAGAAUACGUAAGUUUUGAAGGCUCCCAAUGGAUUCAGGUAAUGCCACCAAAGAUUUUAGACAUGAUAGGUUUAAGUCAUGCAGGUUUUUGAGAUCACAUAACGAUGAGGGUAAUGAUUCUAGAGAAAAGCAGUUCGAAAGGUCCAGAAUGCGCAAGUUUUGAAGGCUCCCAAUGCAUUCAGGUAAUGCCACCAAAGAUUUUAGAUAAGACAGGUUUAAGUCAUGUAGGUUUUUGAGGUGACAUAAUGAUGAGGGUAACCAUUCUAGAGAAGAGCACCUAGAAAGGUUCAGAACACGCAAGUUUUGAAGGCUCCCAAUGGAUUCAGGUAAUGUCACCAAAGAAUUUAUAUCUACUAGGUCUAGGUAAUGAAGGUUUUUGAGGUGACAUAUAGGUUCAAGUGAUAUCACAUUUUCGCACGAACUCAAAUUUAGAGCGUACAAAUUCUGAAGGUUGCUAAUGGAGUCAGGUAUUGUCAGAGAUCGGCAAUUGCAUAAAUCUAAAUUCCGCAAAUUCACAAGCCUUCCUAGAGAUUUGGGUAAUGUACGGAUCUUGCGGCAGCUUGAAAGAUACAAGGUUUGCAAGUUGCAGAGGCCAGUAAUUGAUUCAGGCAAUUCUUGUAUAUUGGUCUCCGAAAGGUUAAGGUAUCUUAAGAGCUUCAACUUACUGAUUGAGCUUGGCAGCAUAGAAAUUUCGAUAAAACUUAAAUCCAACAGGCGUAAGCAUUUUGUGUCACUAUAAAAAGCCAUAAUAAAUGAACAAGAUACCGAAAAUUGAAGAGCUCGCAACCUCCGCACUACUGUGGUUGGAAUCUGCGGCAUGGAACUACUGUCUAUUGACGCAUAGCGGCAACCUUCUGGGAUCCUUGUCGACUCUUCUCCAACUAUAACAGCAACUUCUUCUCUUGCUACAGAUUGUGCGAGGUCGUGCACUAAAUCAUGCAUACGGCAGGUGGUAACCUUUCUAUAAUUUUCCUUCACGUACCUGAAGGAAAGACAUCCAUAAUAGAUCCUUAACGUACUCAUCUCCAAUAUGUUCCAUCGAAGUCCUUGUUUCAUGCGAUGAAAUGAAGCCUAAAGCAAUCCAUUGCCGGAUCAAGUCAUCCUUGCCAAUCUCAUAGCCUUUGGGAAAUAUGGAGCAGUAAACGAAGCACUGCUUCAAAGCCGACGGCAUCUGAAUGUAGCUCAAUUUUAAUGAUGGUAAAAUAGUUUUCUCUUCUUUCAGACUCCAAAUUUCGUUAUCCCUAAUAGCGGACCAUGCAUCCUCUGUCCUGCUCUUAAAGCGCAUCAUACUUCCCAAAGCAUUUGCUGCUAACGGCAGGCCGCCGCACUUCUUAACUAUCUGCUUUCCGAUUGCGACCAAACUCGGAUAGUCGUUCUCUUCCCCUUCCUUGAAUGCCCGUCUUUUGAACAAUGUCCAACAAUCAUUAUAUGAUAAGCCUUUCACACGGUGCGGUUCGACUGUUUUCAUUAUCUCAGCAACCUUUUCACUCCGCGUGGUCACUAAGACUUUGCUUCCCUUCUUGCUGUCCUUAAAUACAACGUUCAACUCCUUCCACUUAUUCUGAUCUUCGUUCCAUACAUCAUCCAGCACCAGCAAAAAUCUCUUCUGGCUAAAGAUCCUGACAAGGCAAGUGGCAACGGCAUCCGAGUUAUCAAGAGCACAAUUUUCUCCAGCUGCAGAUAUCACCGGCUUUGCAAUCGUCUUCAUGUGGAAAUCGGUAGACACGCAGACCCACACCCGUAGAUCAAAGCGCUGCUGGUCCGCAACCCGCCCGUCGUUGUAGGCCAGCUGAGCGAGCGUCGUCUUCCCCAAUCCCCCCAAUCCCACGAUCGGAAUGACCGACACGUCGUGAUCGCCCCCCGUCUCUAGCAGUAGCUUCACAAUUUUCUCUUUAUCACCAUCUCUCCCUACUAUCGUCUUUUCGUUGACGACCGAGAAUGUCUCAGGGCGUUUGAACUCAGCCUCCCGAGCAGGGCCAGCUUCGGUAAGACCGAAAUCAUUUCUUUGUUUCGCUAUCUUACCGAUCUUUUCUCUGAGCUCUUUCAUCCUGUGUGCCAUCUUGACCUUAAACUUCAGAUGCAUCGGAUUAGCGCGGGACAGAAAUCCACGUACCUUUUCAUCUUCCGUCCGGAUCUCGUCCAGCAGGUCGUCGGCGUCGUAGGCGGCGUCCUUCAGUUUGCGCAGCCAGUCGCGCAGAGCGUGGCUCUCCUUCCCAACGCUGCUCCGCUCCUCGGCGUCGAGAAGCACCGCCUGGAUCGCCGAGAAGUUGCUUCUGAGAUCAUCCGCGUCGUCCUUGAAGCUCCGCAGCAGCCCGAUUUCGUCCCCGAGAGCGGAGCCCAGCUUGCCCAGCACUCCUUUCACCAGAUCGAAUGCGAUCCCCUCCGCCAUCGCGCGCGCGUGCUGCUGCCUAAUUCUUCUCAAUACGAACGUCCUACUACAGAGAAGCAGAGGAUAAUGAAGGGUAUGCUCUCCACCACUGGAAGAUGAUUGCUCCAAUUAUUAUUGCGCUACUGCUCCAAUUAUUGUGCUGCACGCUACUCCCCCAAUCGUCUUUAUCCUAUUGUACAGAUUAUAAAAAUAUUAUCAGUUUCAAAUUGGAUCUUGUCGUUUCUGUGUCCAUUUUUUAAAAAUGGAGCGGCGGGAAUGGUGGGCCGCCCUUAUUAUUAUUAUUAUUAUUAUUAUUAUUAUUAUUAUUAUUAUUAUUAUUUUCUCAUACAACUGAAGAAAACGGAAUGAAGAUGUUUGAGAUUUCUGAAAGAUGAUUAAAUGGUAUCACUUAAGAAAUUAAAAAAGCAGUCAAAAUCAGUUUUAGUUUCGAAUAAUUUUGAAUCCGAAUUUUAAAAAGGAAUAGUGAAUCUUAAUUUGAACCCAAAAAAUUUCAAUUUUCAGAUCCGAAUCUGAUUCCAAAAUUGAUAAUAAAAUUUCAAACCAAAUCCUAAUCUUUGGCUUCACAGUCCAGUCAGAUUGAAUAAUACCAGCAUAAUUUUCACCCCAAGGCAUUAUUCUAACAUGCUAUUAUACUUGAAGAAUUGAAUUGAUAUUUAUAAAUUUUGAUUGCCCAAAAAAAAGAAAAAGAAAAAAGUAUGGAGACCACUGGAGCACUGCACCACAAGUGCACCACAGUUCAAAUCGGCUUUUUAAUUAGCAUUGGUCUUCUUAAUUGCCAUUAAAAAAUUUAUUUUCUUAAUUUACACCACUUUAUACUAUCAUUUUUUUUAAAAAAAAAUUAGACCCUGCCGGCGAAAAAUAUAGAAAAUUUUAUUAUGCCUAAUUAUCUCAAAUCUAUAUAAACUAGAUUGGCUAUUGGAAUUUUUUUUCAAAACUAUCGUUGCUAUCGUAAACGAAAAUAAAAAUUUUUUUUAUUUAUCGUCCCUAGAGCAAGUGGCAGAGAGCUUGGUCAAUGGUAUCCGAGACCCAAAUUCAAAUUCCAGUUGAUUCAUAUUUCCAGCUAAGUUUAUUUCUAAAUAAAAUAAAACGACGGGGUAACGUGCGACCUAUCUCUCUCUCUCUCAAAAAAAAAAAAAAAAAAAAAAGAGCUUAGCUUUCUUUUGUAUCUGUCGACAUUCUUAUUAUAUUAUUAGAGGCAAUGGUUCAUUUGUUUUGUAUACAUCUCAAUUGCUGCUCCACUCUUGAUUGUCUUCACAUAGGUUUAAAAAAAAAAAAAACAGAAAACGACCUUGUUAUUAAUAUAGGGGUCUAAUUAAGACAAAUAAAUAUAUAAAUGAAAAAAAAAAAAAAGUUUAGUGGAGCAAUUUCAUACGCCAGUAUAGUGCACGUGACUUUAUGCAUUUUAGCCCCCCCAAAAAAUUGUAUUAUUUUGUUGAAAACUUGAAAUGCGAACAGACGUAAGAGCUGCACAUUGUAAAGGAGAGUACAGACGACAUGGUGGCCGAGCUGGCUCUCCUCAUGUAAAAUGUAAUUAAAUAAAUGUGUGCCAGCCAUAGUUUAAUUGUAGUUGCUCCUGGCCUGAUCGCCUACAGUUGCAAAUCCUCACUGUUACAUACUUUUGCACGCGAUACAUCAUCUCUUUUUGUUACAGAUAAAUUGCAAGUUUUAGAGGACUCGCAUACAGCAUCUAGAAAUUUUUAUGAGCCGACCCAAACUACUUGUACAGCCAUGCAUUUGGCUGUUGCGUCCGGAUCUCGUCCAGCAGGUCGUCGGCGUCGUAGGCGGCGUCCUUCAGUUUGCGCAGCCAGUCGCGCAGAGCGUGGCUCUCCUUCCCAGCGCUGCUUCGCUCCUCGGCGUCGAGAAGCACCGCCUGGAUCGCUGAGAAGUUGCUUCGGAGGUCGUCCGCGUCGUCCUUGCAGCUCCGCAGCAGCCCGAUUUCGUCCCAGAGAGCGGAGCCCAGCUUGCCCAGCACUCCCGUCACCAAAUCGAAUGCGAUCCCCUCCGCCAUCGCGCGUGCGUGCUGCUGCCUAAUUCUUCUCAAUGCGAACGUCCUACUACAGAGAAGCAGAGGAUAAUAAGGAGAUGCUCUCCACCAGUGGAAGAUGAUUGCUCCAAUUAUUGUGCUGUGUCUCCAAUAAUUAUGGUGGGGGCCGGAGGAGCUUGGAGAGAACGCACGCGCCAAUGCUUUUUUUUGUUUUUUUGUUUUUUUGAAAACUCUUCAUUGGGUAUAGAAUAUACACCCCAUCUAUUUAAAAAUAAAGUGUAUUUUACUAAUCACAUCAAC